UAUAAGUGCAACCGUAAGUUUCCGCACCCAACUUUGAUCGUUCGUUUUAUUUAAAAAAUUUUUAUAAUUAGUAUUUUUAUUGUUAUGAGAUGAUAAAACAUGAAUAGUACUUUACUCGUGACUUAUGUUUUUAAAUUUUUUCAAAACUUUUUCAAAUAAGACGGACAGUCAAAGUUGGGCGCGAAAAACCAUAGCUGCACUUAUA
Non-coding RNA from Oryza barthii, 205 nucleotides. Lineage: Eukaryota; Viridiplantae; Streptophyta; Magnoliopsida; Poales; Poaceae. The record is from Rfam.